RNAcentral lists this long non-coding RNA (1307 nucleotides) under Heterocephalus glaber (naked mole-rat). Its description in RNAcentral is "lncRNA (ENSHGLG00100043195.1)". The record is from RNAcentral. Lineage: Eukaryota; Metazoa; Chordata; Mammalia; Rodentia; Bathyergidae.
UGAAAAGUUAUUAACCUGGCCUUUACUGUUCACGUUCAUAUCAACAUUCACCUCUUUUGAGCUACAGCCAGAAUCAUCCAUUAAACUCUGUGUACAGCAUUCUAGGACUUUUCUAGCCCACCUGUCCAAACCUUUCCCAACCCCUCCUGGAAACCAGUUUCAAAUGUUUGUGAACCACAUGGUUACGUAUAGUUACAACAACUACUCCACUUUUCUAGUACUAAUUCUGUAUUAGUCAGCUUUUCAUUCCAGGGACUAAAUAUUCAACACACUACUUAAAGAAGAAGGGUUUAUUUUUGCUCAUAGUUUCAAAGGAUUUAGGCCAUGGUUGGCUGAUUGCAAUGUAGGAACAUCAUGACAUAAAGGAAUGGUGGAGGAAAGCUGCUUAGCUCAUCAGGUCUAGGAAAGAAAGCAAGGGAACAGCAACAGAAAGGAAAGGGCCAGGGACCAGAUGUAGCCCUCAAGAUCUUGCCUUCAUGACUCACCCAGAUACCAAGAAGUGGGCUUUAAAAAUCCCCCAGGUGGCUCCCAAGCCGAUGAAGUUUAUAAUUAAGCUUAUUCAUUGCAUCAGAAAGCAGCUCAAACCUCAACUUUCUACAUGUUUUUAUAGAGCUUCAUAUUUGUUGGGAAGUGAACCAUUCCAUCAAUUGCAACACAAGAUGUUACUUGAGUAUAGCAGUUAUUUGAAUAUUCUUGCUUUGUUUUUAUUCACCCUUGGGCCAGAUGCAGAAGAAUCCAAAGAUCAGGAAAUGGGAAUGUUACAAGAUUAUGGAAACCUCAGUUCCUCAAUCAACACACAGAAGAGAGCUUCCUGGAACAUACUCACUAGACUUGGUCAUGUAAAGACCAUGAAAUAAAUACUUGUGUUAAUCUGUGAAAUUGGGAGAUUUGUUGUUAUGACAACUAGCUGAUUCUAAACAGUUUUCUCUGAGACCAAUUAAUAGACUGACUCAAGUGUUUCAAAUAAUCUUUAAAAAUUUUUAAUCCAAAUUUCUAAUUUUACAGCUGAGGAAAUUGAGAUUUUAGAAGUUAAGUUACUUUCUCACAUAAGUGUAAAUGACAUAGCAGAAACAAAAAUAGAUGUGUGAAUUCCUGUCCUGUGGUCUAGCUCAGUUUCCUCUUUGUUAGUGACAAGUUCUAAAGGAAAUUCUUGCAGUAAAUAUUUGGAUGUGCCACAGUUUCAGAGCUAUUAUUGAAUACAGAAUUUCAAUAACAUUCUUUACUUUAAAAUACAAAUAGAAGCUAGUAAAUAUGUAUUUUUAUGCUAUAUUGAAUAUUUUGUUAAUCAAAAAUAACUUUUUCCUUUA